UAGGGAAUCUUGCGCAAUGGGCGAAAGCCUGACGCAGCGACGCCGCGUGAGCGAUGAAGGCCUUCGGGUUGUAAAGCUCUGUGGAUGGAGACGAAUAAGUGGUAGUUAAUACCUGCCAUGAUGACGGUAUCCAUUUAGCAAGCACCGGCUAACUCUGUGCCAGCAGCCGCGGUAAGACAGAGGGUGCAAACGUUGUUCGGAAUUACUGGGCGUAAAGCGCGUGUAGGCGGCAUUGCAGGUCGGAUGUGAAAUCCCGUGGCUCAACCAUGGAAGUGCACCCGAAACCGCAGAGCUAGAGUCUCGGAGAGGAAGGUGGAAUGCUUGGUGUAGAGGUGAAAUUCGUAGAUAUC
This 350-nucleotide ribosomal RNA is filed under the name uncultured bacterium. RNAcentral describes it as "bacterial SSU rRNA". It matches the Rfam family "Bacterial small subunit ribosomal RNA", at positions 355 to 698 of the family's 1533-position model. The record is from RNAcentral.